GAGGUCUCAAGCGUUGUUCGGAUUCAUUGGGCGUAAAGGGUGCGUAGGCGGCGCGGUAAGUCGGGUGUGAAAUCUUGGAGCUUAACUCCGAAACUGCAUUCGAUACUGCCGUGCUUGAGGACUGGAGAGGAGACUGGAAUUUACGGUGUAGCGGUGAAAUGCGUAGAUAUCGUAAGGAAGACCAGUGGCGAAGGCGGGUCUCUGGACAGUUCCUGACGCUGAGGCACGAAGGCCAGGGGAGCAAACGGG
This 249-nucleotide ribosomal RNA is filed under the name uncultured bacterium. RNAcentral describes it as "partial 16S ribosomal RNA". It matches the Rfam family "Bacterial small subunit ribosomal RNA", at positions 528 to 776 of the family's 1533-position model. The record is from RNAcentral.